Molecule: ribosomal RNA, 544 nt
Filed under: uncultured Acidobacteriaceae bacterium
Lineage: Bacteria; Pseudomonadati; Acidobacteriota; Terriglobia; Terriglobales; Acidobacteriaceae
Description: bacterial SSU rRNA
Rfam family: Bacterial small subunit ribosomal RNA
Source: RNAcentral
AAUCAACGCUGGCGGCGUGCCUAACACAUGCGAGUCGCACGAGAAAGGGUAGCAAUACCUGAGUACAGUGGCGCACGGGUGAGUAACACGUGAAUCAUCUACCUUCGAGUGGGGAAUAACUGAGAGAAAUCUUAGCUAAUACCGCAUAAUACCUACGGGUCAAAGCAGCAAUGCGCUUGAAGAGGAGUUCGGCAGAUUAGUUAGCUGGCGGGGUAAUGGCCCACCAAGACGAUGAUCUGUAUCCGGCCUGAGAGGGCGCACGGACACACUGGAACUGAAACACGGUCCAGACUCCUACGGGAGGCAACAGUGGGGAAUUUUGCGCAAUGGGGGAAACCCUGACGCAGCAACGCCGCGUGCAGGAUGAAAUCCCUUGGGAUGUAAACUCCUUUCGAUAGGGAAGAUAAUGACGGUACCUAUAGAAGAAGCCCCGGCUAACUUCGUGCCAGCAGCCGCGGUAAUACGAGGGGGGCAAGCGUUGUUCGGAAUUAUUGGGCGUAAAGGGUGCGUAGGCGGUUUGACAAGUCUUAUGUGAAAUCUUCGG